Molecule: long non-coding RNA, 549 nt
Filed under: Gallus gallus (chicken)
Lineage: Eukaryota; Metazoa; Chordata; Aves; Galliformes; Phasianidae
Source: RNAcentral
CGAGAAGUAGUUACAAUUUCAAAGAGAUUGUCUCUCAUCAUUAUAUCACUUUGUUUGCAUUCCUGAACUUUAUGGACCUCUUUCAGUGGUAUAACUCUGAGAGGUUCCUUCUCCAGUUCAGACUUGAAAUAUCCUAUUGUGUUUUCAUCCAACUGAAAGUAUCUUCUUUUCCAGUUCUUCAUCACUGCUCCUUGUUUUACACAGUAGCCAGCUUUGAUAAUAGCAUUAUCUGGGGGAUGUUUAGCAGUAAAAUAAGGAAGGUGACUUUGUGAUCGUUUCAGGUAACUCCUAUCACCUCCUUCACUGCACUCGUUGACUUCUUCUUUCUGGGUAGGUGUAAUGAUAGGAACACCACCAACAAUUUCUGUCCUGUAAGACACUUGCUUCUUUCCACCUGGGCUUUCAGCUUGACGGUUUGCAUUAUCCAUUUGACACAGAGGAUCAGACUGCUUUGGUACUGUGAUUUUGGUAGCUUUGUUCAGAACGUUUACCCAUUCUACUAGGUCUUGCUGAUCAUUGGCUUGUAGAAAAUAUUUUCUCAUCCCUGCA